AUUAUGAAGGAUUCAAGUGAGCCAAACAUGUGUUUUGGAGCAGCCCACCUCACUCCAAGCAUCCAACGACUUUUCUUAUAUACCAUCAACUGUUCCACAUGAUCUGGAGCUAGUCAACAGACAAACAUUUAUAGUGUAUCUUGCUGCUCACAACUUUUUAUAGCUUUAAAAGAAGGAAGUCUUACAUCAGAAAAAAUUCCUGCAUAUGAAAGUGUCCAAGUAAGUUCCUGGUCUUAAAUGUAGGGAUAAUGUAUGAGUGAAACAUAAUUGUGCCAUGCACAAAUGUAACCAAGUGGUUACGGCUAAUGAACUUAUGAUCUCCAGAACUUGCCUGGUUGACCAUGCGCAGUUGUGUUUCCCCCACAAAUUUACCUUUUCCGUUCACUCCUUGAGACUAUGUUACCUAACUCAAAGCCCACUUCUAUACGGGAGUUCAGCCAGAUCAUCUAUAACAAAUUCCGUCUUGGUCUUUUCUUCAAAAUUCUACUUUGGAAAAAGGUUGAGCCCUUGUGCGGAUGGUCAGCCGGUGGAGACGUCCGCUGUGGUAAGUCUUGUGAUUUACUUUGUUUUGGUUAUCCAGCGGACGCUCCCACCAGGGUAUAUUUGUUAAUUUCGUUUAUUGUUCUGUUGUAUUUGUGCUUAUCAUAAAUAUAUAUAUACUUAUGUUUA
Zootermopsis nevadensis is the source of this 669-nucleotide non-coding RNA. Lineage: Eukaryota; Metazoa; Arthropoda; Insecta; Blattodea; Termopsidae. The record is from RefSeq and is a predicted model, not a curated record.